This 203-nucleotide long non-coding RNA is filed under the name Ananas comosus (pineapple). Its description in RNAcentral is "long non-coding RNA (ACOM_LNC041713)". Lineage: Eukaryota; Viridiplantae; Streptophyta; Magnoliopsida; Poales; Bromeliaceae. The record is from RNAcentral.
AUCAGAAGUUCAACUUUUUUUCUUUUUUGAGAGUUCUUUUAUUUUAUUUAGAAAUAAACUUAGCUAGAAAUAUGAGAAUCAAUUAGGAUUCGAAUUUGGAAGGUAUCUCGGGUACCAACCACCAAGCCCUUUGCCACUUGUGCUAGAGACUGUUGGUAAGGUAAAAAUUUUUCGAACAAUCAAAUUUAGACUUAUUAGCGAAU